This 502-nucleotide unclassified non-coding RNA is filed under the name Thrips palmi. RNAcentral's name for it is "gastrula zinc finger protein XlCGF8.2DB-like, transcript variant X9". Lineage: Eukaryota; Metazoa; Arthropoda; Insecta; Thysanoptera; Thripidae. The record is from RNAcentral.
AUCGGAAGCCUCGAAUCUUCGACCUCAAACUUUGCAGCGAGGUUAGUACGACUUCAGAAUCGUAAAUUCCGAAGCAUGUGAUGUUCAAUGCUAGCAGUCGGGCACUUCAGAGUAGGUCUUGACUUUGGAAUCUCGGCGUGGCGAUUACCAGCGCAGGAGCGUCAAGGAACCAACAGCCGGCACGAGACUCCACCGAAGACGGAUCGGAACCAUCGAGGAGGGAACACUCGGACGACGCGCCCAUCGGGAGCCUCGAUUCUUCGACCUCAAACUUCGCAGCGAGGAAUCCCAGUGUGGCGAGCUCCAACCAGCGCAGGAGCGUCUGAGCACCAACGGCCGUCACUACACUACAAAUCCAAAGUGUAGAGACCACGGAAGGAGGACCGGAACCAUCGAGGAGGAACCCUCGGACACACGACGCGCCCGUCGGAAGCUUCCAAUCUUGGACCACUCAUUUCUCAGCGAGGAAUCCCGGCGUGGGGAGCACGAGCCCCAAUCAACC